Long non-coding RNA from Dama dama (fallow deer), 1990 nucleotides. RefSeq lists it as uncharacterized. The record is from RefSeq and is a predicted model, not a curated record. The transcript has 7 exons. Lineage: Eukaryota; Metazoa; Chordata; Mammalia; Artiodactyla; Cervidae.
GGACCAGGCCUCGGAUCGUGAAAGAUGUGGGGCAAUGACCCCGCUCACCCACCCGUAGAGUCGGAGCCCGUUUUAUAUCCCUUUGACCGGAGAGAAGGUGAUUGCUGAGAUAGGAAUGAAAAAAAGGAAAGCAACUGAGCCUCAUUGGAGGCGCCCAGAAGCCCCAGAACCUCCUCCUGGAAGUCCUCCUUGAUUAACCAGAAUCUGCUCUUGACCCCAAAGUCAGGAACUUUCCAUGGCUCGUCACUGCCUACCCCUUCACUUACACCUCUGCUGACAGAGAAGGGCUGUGGUCUGAAUGUCUGUCUAUAACUCAUCAACUUGGGCCACCUUGGCUCUUUUAUCAGUAUUUUUUGACUGUGUCCAAAUUCUCUUGUUAGGUGUGUGACCUGGAACAAAAAACUCUAUAUGAACUUUGUGAACUGGUAUCUACCCCUCCUUUUAGGCUAAUGUUGCCUGUGGACGUUCCCGGAGGCCGGAAUCCCGUCCCGUUCUUCGCCAUUGAGCUCGAUCACAAUCUCACCGGGGACUAACAGUCCACUGAGGUUACACAGCUUAAGGAACAGCAACCUGAAAGUCACUCCCAAGUCAGCUGGACUCUAAGUCAGUGUUUUUGGUGAUGAAGGUAACCCACAAGUAACCUCAGCCUGCGGAUACAGGAGGGCGAGACCUCAGGGCCUGACCCGGAUGAGGGUAGCGAUUUCCUACUGAAACAGCAUCGUCAUGCCAAGACGAAAUGAGACAAGAGCUUCGUACAGUUUUGAGCAAAACGCUGCGCCUGUAUACUGGAAGUGGAGGCGGGCGGUGAGCGGUGUCACUGGUCUCUUCUGACGGUCGUUACUGGUCGUUGGCUGAGCGUCACAAGCCCAUCCUCAGGGCACACCUGCCAGCUCUCUUCUUUGAGUGCCCUGCUCCUGGCCCCUCCAUCAGGCUGAUGAAGUCACUGCCCACUGCUCUUCCUGUUCUCCGGGUUUUCUGGCGCCUCUGACCGAACACCUUGUGUGUCUCCCAUGGCAGCCUUGGGAGAAGAUGGAGAAAACCUCAGGCAGCCUCAGCUGUGGCCAGCGGCUCUCCCUCUGUACUGGGGCUGGACACGCAGAUGUGGAAGCUUAGAGCGGUAGGGGACCUUCAGGCCAACCAGGCCAGCCCCUGUUUUACAGCUAGGGAACUGAGGCCUGGGUGAAGUGACCUGCCCGGGGUCACAUGGCCUGUUAUGUAGAGAGUCCUAGUCACUUGAUAAGCAGCUCACUGCUUCUUUCAAGGUUCACGCCUCUGUUAGGAGUCUCAGGUGAAACGGUGAACAUAAAUGUGCAUGGGGACCUUCCGGACCCAGGGAUCACACCUGGGUCUCCCGCACUGCAGGCAGAUUCUUUACCAUCGGAGCCAACUUAGGCGCGAUUCCCAGUGGAAUGAGAACAACAGUGAGUUGGACUGCCACUUUUAAACCUUCGGUCAGGAUGAUCCCGUGGAGAAGCAAAUGGCAACCCUCUGCAGUAUUCUUGCCUGGAGAAUCCCAUGGACAGAGGAGCCUGGCGGGCUAUAGUCCAAAGGGUUGCAAAGAGUUUGAGCGACUAAGCACGCACACACAGAAUGAAAUUUUAAAAGCUAGGUGAUUCAACGGGUGAAUGGACAGAUAAAUGGUGGUACUUCCAGACAAUGGAAUAUUAUUCAGCACCAACAAUAAAUAGAGAGAGCCAUGAAAAGACACAGAAGAACAGUAAAUGCACAUCACUAAGUCAAAGGAGCCAACCUGCAAAGGCUACAUACUGUGUGAUUCCAAUUAUAUGACAUUCUGGAAAAGACAAAGCUAUGAAGACAGUAAAAAUGUAAGGUGAUGAUACUCCUCUGUAUGUAGAGUUCAGUCCAUCCUGGGGUCACAGAGACUUGGGCUGGAGUCUGAGCCCCACCACAAUCAGCUCUGCAACUUUGGGAAAGUCCUUAACCCCUCUGACCUCAGUUUCUCUAACUCCACAGAAUUGUGUUGUCUUCC